CGUUUAUCAUGCAGCAUAUAUAAAAACAGAGGUUCAUCUUUAUUUCUCUGUAAUAAUUUUUUUUUUCUAGUUUCAGGGAUAGGAACUGGUGGACUUCCUGGUUCUGGAGUGGGUGGUCUUGGAACUGGUGGACUUCCUGGUUCUGGUUUGGGAGUGGGUGGUCUUGGAACUGCAGGACUUCCUGGUUCUGGUUUGGGAAUUGGUGGCCUUGGCACUGGUGGAAUCCCUGGACUUGGUCCUGAAGGAUAUGCUGCAGCCAAAGCAAGAAAAUAUGCCCAUCUUGGACGUCCUGGUGGGACUUUAGGUACUGGAGGAUUGCCAGGUGGAGCAGCUGGUGUGUCUGGUGUUGGACUUGGUGGACUACCUGGUGGAGGUCUUGGGAGUGGUGGACAACCUGGAGGCGGACUUGGAGGGCUACCUGGAGGUGGACUUGGUGGAUUACCUGGUGGAGGAACUGGUGGACUACCUGGUGGUGGAGUUGGUGGUCUUCCUAGCAGUGGUGCUGGAGGACUCCUCGGCUCUGGAAUUGGAUAUGCAGAGGCAAAAGCUCGUAAAUAUGGUCUGCUUGGUGGAGGUGCUGCUUUAGGCCCAGGCACUGGAUUAGCUGCAGGUAUUCCAGGUGUAUUACCAGGCACUGGUGUCAGAAUAGUUGGGGCAGGGGGUAUACCCUGGCAUGGAUUAAUGCACAGGCUUGCAUAGGCUGCAGCCUAGGGGCCCCACGUGUGCAGGGGGCCUCGGAUUGGCCAGACAUUUUUUUUUUACUUAAGCGCGAACCAGGCAUGGCACGGCGCAUCAUUCCAGUUUCCAGUUUGGAUGGGCCAGACAAAUUGUGAAUGUUAAAUUUAAAACGUUAUCCAAUCACUGUUUAACCUAAUAAAAAUUACUGACUAAUAUACUGUUAAAUUAUC
Molecule: long non-coding RNA, 908 nt
Organism: Cyprinus carpio (common carp)
Lineage: Eukaryota; Metazoa; Chordata; Actinopteri; Cypriniformes; Cyprinidae
Source: Ensembl